This 206-nucleotide ribosomal RNA is filed under the name uncultured bacterium. RNAcentral's name for it is "partial 16S ribosomal RNA". It matches the Rfam family "Bacterial small subunit ribosomal RNA", at positions 568 to 774 of the family's 1533-position model. The record is from RNAcentral.
CGCGUAGACGGCUGUCUAAGUCUGGAGUGAAAGUCCUGUUUCAAGAUGGGAAUUGCUUUGGAGACUGGAUGGCUUGAGUGCGGAAGAGGUAAGUGGAAUUCCCAGUGUAGCGGUGAAAUGCGUAGAGAUUGGGAGGAACACCAGUGGCGAAGGCGACUUACUGGGCCGUAACUGACGUUGAUGCGCGAAAGCGUGGGGAGCGAACA